RNAcentral lists this ribosomal RNA (490 nucleotides) under uncultured soil bacterium. RNAcentral describes it as "bacterial SSU rRNA". It matches the Rfam family "Bacterial small subunit ribosomal RNA", at positions 26 to 523 of the family's 1533-position model. The record is from RNAcentral.
AGAUUGAACGCUGGCGGCAUGCCUAACACAUGCAAGUCGAACGGGAGUAGCAAUACUCUAGUGGCGGACGGGUGAGGAAUACGUAGGAAUUUGCCCUUAAGUGGGGGAUAACCCGGGGAAACCCGGAUUAAUACCGCAUGACCUCGAAAGAGCAAAGUGGGGGAUCGCAAGACCUCACGCUUUUGGAGAAGCCUACGUCGGAUUAGCUAGUUGGUGAGGUAAUGGCUCACCAAGGCACGAUCCGUAACUGGUCUGAGAGGAUGAUCAGUCACACCGGAACUGAGACACGGUCCGGACUCCUACGGGAGGCAGCAGUGGGGAAUAUUGGACAAUGGGCGCAAGCCUGAUCCAGCAACGCCGCGUGUGUGAAGAAGCCUGGUUCGUAAGCAUUUAAGUUGGAAGAAAAACUACGACUCGUAACUACAGUGAGUCUUGACGUACGACCAGAAUAAGACACGACUAACUACUGUGCCAGACACGCCGACGGUAA